Molecule: long non-coding RNA, 403 nt
Filed under: Homo sapiens (human)
Lineage: Eukaryota; Metazoa; Chordata; Mammalia; Primates; Hominidae
Description: non-protein coding lnc-SMC1B-6:2
Source: RNAcentral
GGGAUUUUCCUUUUCCUCCGAAGCUGCUGAUUCAUCCCCAGGCUGGAGUCAGGCUCAGCUGUGGGGCUGGGAGCAUGGGCUCUCAGGCUGCUGCUGAGUGGAGGAACUGGGCCUCCUGGGAGGUGUCCUCCAGCCUCUCUGGAUGCUCCAUGGGGUGCUUCAAGGAUGACCGCAUCGUCUUCUGGACUUGGAUGUUCUCCACCUACUUCAUGGAGAAAUGGGCUCCCCGGCAGGACGACAUGCUUUUCUAUGUGCGCCGGAAGCUGGCGUACUCCGGCAGCGAAAGCGGUGCAGACGGGAGGAAGAUGAGGAAACGGAGGGCUCGGAGAUGAAGUGAUUCGCCUAACGUAUUUCAUCCACUAAAUCGCAGUGUGGGAGGAGCUAAUAAAAUACAUUUUGCAUG